CUACGUGCCAGCAGCCGCGGUAACACGUAAGGGGCGAGCGUUGUUCGGAAUUAUUGGGCGUAAAGGGCAUGUAGGCGGUUGUAUAAGCCUGAUGUGAAAUCCUGAGGCUUAACCUCAGAAUAGCAUUGGGUACUGUAUAGCUUGAAUUACGGAAGGGAAACUGGAAUUCCAAGUGUAGGGGUGGAAUCUGUAGAUAUUUGGAAGAACACCGGUGGCGAAGGCGGGUUUCUGGCCGAUAAUUGACGCUGAGAUGCGAAAGUGUGGGGAUCGAACAGGAUUAGAUACCCUGGUAGUCCACACCGUAAACGAUGUACACUAGGUGUUGGGGUACGAACCUCAGUGCCGAAGCAAACGUGAUAAGUGUACCGCCUGGGGAGUAUGCCCGCAAGGGUGAAACUCAAAGGAAUUGACGGGGGCCCGCACAAGCGGUGGAGUAUGUGGUUUAAUUCGAAGCAACGCGAAGAACCUUACCAAGUCUUGACAUCCUUUGACCACUCUAGAGAUAGAGCUUUCC
RNAcentral lists this ribosomal RNA (514 nucleotides) under uncultured bacterium. Its description in RNAcentral is "bacterial SSU rRNA". It matches the Rfam family "Bacterial small subunit ribosomal RNA", at positions 501 to 1017 of the family's 1533-position model. The record is from RNAcentral.